Molecule: non-coding RNA, 82 nt
Organism: Thalassophryne amazonica
Lineage: Eukaryota; Metazoa; Chordata; Actinopteri; Batrachoidiformes; Batrachoididae
Source: the annotation of a RefSeq genome assembly
GCAAUGAUGGCUGAGUGGUUAAAGCGUUGGAUUUGAAAUGCAAAAGGGUCUCCCUGCGCAGGUUCAAAUCCUGCUCACAGCG